AUGGGUGAUGUUGAGAAAGGCAAGAAGAUUUUUAUUAUGAAGUGUUCCCAGUGCCACACCGUUGAAAAGGGAGGCAAGCACAAGACUGGGCCAAAUCUCCAAGGCCUCUUCGGGCGGAAGACAGGUCAGGCCGCUGGAUACUCUUACACGGUUGCCAGUAAGAACAAAGGCAUCACCUGGGGAGAGGAUACACUGAUGGAGUAUUUGGAGAAUCCCAAGAAGCACAUACCUGAAACAAAAAUGAUCUUUGUCGGCAUUAAGAAGAAGGAAGAAAGGGCAGACUCGAUAGCUUUUCUCAAAAAAGCUACUAAUGAG
RNAcentral lists this long non-coding RNA (315 nucleotides) under Homo sapiens (human). RNAcentral's name for it is "non-protein coding lnc-SSR4-2:1". The record is from RNAcentral. Lineage: Eukaryota; Metazoa; Chordata; Mammalia; Primates; Hominidae.